GAUGAACGCUAGCGGCAGGCCUAAUACAUGCAAGUCGAACGGGAUCCAGAUCAAAGCUUGCUUUGGUUUGGUGAGAGUGGCGUACGGGUGCGUAACGCGUGAGCAACCUACCCUUGUCAGGGGGAUAGCCCGGCGAAAGUCGGAUUAAUACCGCAUGACAUCAUUGAGAGGCAUCUUUCGAUGAUCAAAGAUUUAUCGGACAAGGAUGGGCUCGCGUGACAUUAGCUAGUUGGUAAGGUAACGGCUUACCAAGGCUACGAUGUCUAGGGGCUCUGAGAGGAGAAUCCCCCACACUGGUACUGAGACACGGACCAGACUCCUACGGGAGGCAGCAGUAAGGAAUAUUGGUCAAUGGACGGAAGUCUGAACCAGCCAUGCCGCGUGCAGGAAGACGGCCCUAUGGGUUGUAAACUGCUUUUAUACGGGAACAAACGUCGGUACGUGUACCGGUCUGAGUGUACCGUAAGAAUAAGGAUCGGCUAACUCCGU
This 489-nucleotide ribosomal RNA is filed under the name uncultured bacterium. Its description in RNAcentral is "partial 16S ribosomal RNA". It matches the Rfam family "Bacterial small subunit ribosomal RNA", at positions 28 to 506 of the family's 1533-position model. The record is from RNAcentral.